Molecule: transfer RNA, 539 nt
Filed under: uncultured Prochlorococcus sp.
Lineage: Bacteria; Bacillati; Cyanobacteriota; Cyanophyceae; Synechococcales; Prochlorococcaceae
Description: partial 16S-23S ribosomal RNA intergenic spacer
Rfam family: tRNA (bases 210-282)
Source: RNAcentral
CAGGGAGACAACAAAAUGUUAAAUAUUAAUUUUGUCACCUUAGGUCGAUCGGUAUCUCACAUUCUUAAAUUUAUUAAGGAUUUUAUUUCCUAAGUUUUUUCUAGGUCACACCCAUUUUUUCCUGGGCCAUUAGCUCAGGUGGUUAGAGCGCACCCCUGAUAAGGGUGAGGUCCCUGGUUCAAGUCCAGGAUGGCCCAUAUCUCUAUGUUGGGGGUAUAGCUCAGUUGGUAGAGCGCCUGCUUUGCAAGCAGGAUGUCAGCGGUUCGAGUCCGCUUACCUCCACUGAUUACCACCUCUCCCAUAAACUUAUAGAAGGGAAAUUUUUGAGUUGUGACCAAAUCCUGAACGAAUCUAGCUUCCUAAUAUUUUUAUUAAGAUGCUGGACUCAUUGAAUUAAUUUCAUUGUUUUCAGAGAACCUUGACAACUGCAUAGAUUAUUUUUAAAGACAAUAAGCAUCUUUAAUGAUGCAGAUUUAUUAUUUGUGCGAAUGCAUUAAUAACAAUUCUAUUAAGCUGAUGCUUCAAUUUUUGAAGUUAUU